UAUCCUUCGUCUUUAUUUAUAAAAUCAUAAACAAAUCUGAAAAUUGAAAUCACAAACAAAUUAAAAAAUUUUAAAUCCAAAAAUAUUAGUUAGAAAUACAUAUGUGUUGCAUCAUGCAUUUAAUCACUUAGGGGCACAUCAUCUAGUUUUUAUUUUUGUUUUUUUAAAUUUUCGUACCUUAAAUUGUGGUGAUCGCUGGAGGACCCCAAGGUACGUUAAUUUCUUCAUUUCUUUAGAUAGAUCACGUAGUGUUAAGCAUCCAUAAUUGUUUAUAGCUUUUAUUAUAUCGUUGUGUGGAGCAUCAUUUAAAUAAAUCUUAAGGGCAUAACCCAUUCACAAGAUAAGGGAAAAGAUUUCAUCACUUCUUUCCUUGGCCCACAACAACUAAUUUCCUCAUUUUGCAUUUUCCUAGCUUUUUAAUAAAAUGAAUUAGACGUUAGCCCCUAGGAUUUCGCGCUCAAUUAGGAAGGUACCUAAAAGACGAGGUAAUCUUUAAUUAUUCCGACUUUUCGGUGUCUAAGGCUAGCGAAAGCUUACCUGGCCGAUUAAGGUUUGGUGUCUAAGCGCGGAGAUUGGCUUUUUGGCAAUGCCUGCUCCAAACUGGCUAAACCGGUCCGAAUAAUAAUUGAUUUAUCGAGUUUUUGGUGGUCCUUAACGUUAGGAGCAAGGUCUAGUUCUUUUUAUUAGGGAACCCUAGAAUUAGGUUUUUCUUUCGCUUUUAUACCCUUUCUUUUGUGUGAUUUAAUUUCUCGCACUUAUCUGCUACGUGUUUACUAUCUUGUUUAUGCGAACUACUUGGGUUAGGAACGAGUCAUCUAGAUUAGUAAGACCUAUAAUCGAGAUUCCCUCGUCCUCUUCGGAUUCCGAAAGCCUAGAAGUUCAAGAACCGAUAGUUAACAUGGCCCUUUCACUCAAAGAUCGUUGUUACUCAUCUCGUUCAAGUCAACCUUCAUGCAUCACCCUUCCUCCGGUAAAUGGGAACAAUUUUGAAGUCAAAGCUCAUCAUAUUAGCAUGUUACCUAAAUUUACCGGGAGUGAGGGUUAGGAUCCUUGUCUUUUCAUCCAAGAAUUCGAGGAAGUUUGUUCCCUCCAAAAGCUCCACCAAUUAACGGAAUAUUCGAUUAGACUUAGGCUCAUUAAUUUUGCGCUUAAAGAGAAUGCGAGAAAAUGGUUAUAUAGUCUUCCCGUUAAUUCUAUUUCCACGUGGGAGGGGUUUGUGGUGGUUUUUCUUAAAAAGUAUUUUCCAAAUCAUAAGACUACUCGAAUUACAAAUGAAAUAAAUCAAUUUCAUGAAAGGGAAAAUGAGUCUUUUUGGAAAUUCUUUGAUCGUUUUAAAAAUCUCCUAUCACAAUACCCCCACCACGGAAUAGAAAAAUGGAGACUUUGCAAAAUAGUUUACGAGGCCUUAGAUAGUCAAACUACUGCGUUAUUAGAGUCUAUGUGCCAAGGUAAAUUCAUGGAGAAAGAUGAAGACCAAGGGUGGGAAUUUUUCGAAGAUUUAGCGGAAAAGACUAUGUUGUGGGAGUCAACGAGGGAACCUAAAAAAUCGAUCGAGUCAUCUAGCACUAGGGGUUUGCACUCGAUAGGAAACAAUGUGGCAACCGAUGCCAAAUUAGCUACCCUAACUAAGAGACUCGAAUCUUUAGAAACUAGUAAAUCUCCCCCACAAAUGUCAACAUACCCGAAUUACAAUCACGCAACCCAACCCUCGCACGAACUUGAACAAGUACAUGCGAUGUUUCAAAACCCUAGGAAUGACCCAUUUGUAUCCACGUACAAUCCGGGUUGGAGAAAUCACCCAAAUUUUUCAUGGACCCAAGGUCAAAAUUGUCAAAUUCCUCAACCCAAUUUUCAAAUGAAUCAAGGGCCAACUUCCUUUCAAACUCCUCAACAAAAUUUUCAACAAAGGCCCAACCCAAACUCUUACCUAAAUCAAGUUCCAAAUUCAUGUCAUAACCCAAUUCAAACUCCUUUGAAUCCUCCCUGUUUUAAUGAUUCGGAUAAACGCCUUAAUUUUUUAGAAAAGAGUUUGGAAGCCUUAGUGAAAUCUCAAACUAAUUUGACCCAAUCUCAACAAACUUUCAUGCAAACCCUAAAAAUUUUGCAUUCUAAUGUGCAAGUCGUGUCUAAGUUAGAGGCCCAAUUGAGUCAAUUAGCUAGCACAUUGUGUGAGCGAGAGAAGAACAAGUUGCCAAGUGUUAGGUCCAAAGUAUCGUAGAAGGGGGGGGUUGAAUACGAUACUCACUACAAUUUAAAAUUCUUUCGAAUCUUGCGGAUAAAUAAAUUGCAGUCCUGUAAUGGGUUUCGUGUUCUGGAUAUUUAUUGGGUCGGUUUCUGAGGAUAUAAAAAUAUUAAACCAACACACAAUAUUUUCCAAGGUAUAUCUGUAUAUUGAUAAAUACCUCGAAGGGUGCUAUAAAUCCAAAUCCUAAGGUUGGCUACAAUGACCACUCCUCUAAAUAUUACAAGCCCUAUCCACUACAAAUAUUUACGGUACAAUCAUUUUGAGGUGAGGAAGCUUCUAGCCAGUGUUUGGGUCAUUAUUACAGAUGUUCCGCCUCUGUUGUAAGGUCUUUAAUUUCACUUCCUUGAUGCUCAAGGCGAUCUCUCUCUACCUAACUGGAAACAAAUGUGAAGAUUGUUACAGGUUAGAGGGUGAGCAGGGAAACAAGUGCUGCUAAAAAAAUCAGAGAUCAAACAUCUUUGCUAUUAUUCAAAAGAUUUGCUCUUGAAGCAGCCCGCUAUUUUGGAACUUGAAGCACCUAUCAAAGUUUGUGAUAUCUGUCAAACGGGUUUCCCUUCUCUCUUGCUUGGUUUGAUGCUGCGUUUAUAAAUAAUUAAGUUAUUUCCAUGACUUAAUCAGUUGCCAUAUUCCACCUGAUGCCAGGAUGUUUUAUUGAAGAUAUAAUGUGAAGCAAUGAAAUAAAAAUUGCUCGUAAUAUAGAGUUUUAAUAUUCUCCGAGAUUGAAGACGCAUCCUCUCAAUAAAAUGGCGGCGUUUCACAUAAAUUGGGCAGGUUACUUGUAUAAUCAGUUUCUCAAGGACAAAUUGCUCAAGUAGUAGUUUUGUAUUUCAUUAGAAAUUGUAAUUUUUUCAAGGACAAGUUGCUCAAGCAGUAUAGUUUUAUAUUAUAUUAGAAAUUGUAGUUUAUGUAUAGUAGUUUCUUCGAUUGAGAAAAAUUGAGUUGCGGAGGAUUUUAUGUUUUAUGUUCAAUAUAUGUUCAUCUAGAAUUGAUUUUAGUUGUACACAAAUAAUUUCAUUAGUGAUUAAGUAAUUAUUUUUA
Long non-coding RNA from Daucus carota subsp. sativus, 3283 nucleotides. RefSeq lists it as uncharacterized. NCBI's taxonomy places the organism in Eukaryota, Viridiplantae, Streptophyta, Magnoliopsida, Apiales, Apiaceae. The record is from RefSeq and is a predicted model, not a curated record. The transcript has 6 exons.